CUCAGGCGAUCUGCCCUCCUCGGCCUCCCAAAAUGCUAGGAUUACAGACGUAAGCCACCAGGCCCUGCCCAGAUACACCUUUGAAAAGUUCUUCCUCCUGGUGGGAGACGGGUUGGGAGGCAGUAAGAUAAACUAAGGUGAUAUAAGUCAUUGAGGAGAUGAAAUGGGGCCAUGUGGUCACCUGACCCCAGGGCAGAUGGAGGGCAUGGGGACUGCCACAGGAAGGGACAAUGGGAUGAACUCCACAGGGCGAGAAGGGGCAGCCUGCGAGAGACGGGGGGGUCUGAGGCCCAGUGAGGGCAGGCUGGGGGGUUGGCUUGGGGGCUGUACUAGGUCAGGGCCGUGGACUCUGUUGUUGGAUUUGUGAUGAUAUCCUAGCGUUGCCCCCACUCAGCAUGUGAUGUGCUCGGGUGGAUUCUCUCCCAAGCCCAGCUUCAUGGGCUGAAAAAAGGGUGAACUGUGGAGGGGAGAUGAAAGGAUACACUCCACAGCCUUCAGCUCCCUGGGCUGAAGUUUGCCCGGAGCAGUGUCCCUGAAAGUGGGAGAGGUUGGCAGUGGUCCACAGGUGCACGCUGGGUGGGUGCCCUUUCCCCCAGAGAGCCGCAGCCUUACGUAACCAGAGCCCCUGGGGCAGUGCCUGCCUCCCGGGGGCCAUCUCAGGCUGAGGGCCGCCACCUCCGCCCUGCGAUUCACAGCCCCUGGCAAUGUUUUUCUCUUCUUAGACAUUGAUAAUCCAACCGCCAAGCUUUCUUGGAGUUUUUGGCUUUCCAAGAUGGGAGUGGGUUGCAGGCAAGAGGGCUUUCCAAGUGGACAAACUUUAUUCCCUCUGGUUUGUGUAGAAACUCAGGCAGCGGGCAGGCCUGGGAGGUGCCGGUGCCCCUGCCCCUGUCCCAUCUCCACCACCUGCACGUUUUAAGAUCCUCUGCGGCCACCAGACCCUGCCAGCCCCGGGGCCGGCGGGACCCUGCGCCCCUCAAGACGCUCCUCUUUAUUUUAGUGCCCCUCUCAGCUGAGGAGGAACCGAGAGCGGCGCUGGGGCACCUGAGCCCAGGAAGGCAAGCAGGCCGGCCGGGACCGCGAGUGCCUGGCGGAGCAGGCGCAGCCCAGGACUCCCGGCUCCCACCUCCGGCUGUAGUCCAGGGCCAAGGCUUGUGUUCAAUCGUGUGAAUGGCCGGCGGGCCCCCUCCACGUCCCCAUCCCUCGAGGGGACCCAGGAGACCUACACACUGGCCCACGAGGAGAAUGUCCGCUUUGUGUCCGAAGCCUGGCAGCAGGUGCAGCAGCAGCUGGAUGGUGGCCCAGCCGGUGAGGGCAGGCCAAGGCCUGUGCAGUACGUGGAGAGGACCCCCAAUCCCCGGCUGCAGAACUUCGUGCCCAUUGACCUGGACGAGUGGUGGGCACAACAGUUCCUGGCGAGAAUCACCAGCUGUUCCUAGUGGCUGCUGGGAGAGGGCGCUGCUGCACAGCCGACCUGUGGCCAGGAGAGAAGCAUGAUGCCCCACCCACCCACUGCGCCUGGCUGGGUGCCGGCCACACCUGAAGUGCCAGCAUUUGGACUUUUGCACCUGUUGUUCCCUUGGCCCGGCUGUCCCAACCAAGCUGCCAUGGCCAGGGGCCGAACCCAUCUGACCUCAGCCCUGCUCACUGUGCCCAGGGACCAGCGACCGGCCCCUGGGGCUGGUGGGGAGGAGCUCCAGGCUAAUAAAGUCGAGAAACUG
Molecule: RNA transcript, 1718 nt
Organism: Cercocebus atys (sooty mangabey)
Lineage: Eukaryota; Metazoa; Chordata; Mammalia; Primates; Cercopithecidae
Gene: MCRIP2
Gene name: family with sequence similarity 195, member A
Exons: 4
Source: RefSeq, a predicted model, not a curated record